RNAcentral lists this ribosomal RNA (497 nucleotides) under uncultured bacterium. Its description in RNAcentral is "partial 16S ribosomal RNA". It matches the Rfam family "Bacterial small subunit ribosomal RNA", at positions 28 to 507 of the family's 1533-position model. The record is from RNAcentral.
GAUGAACGCUGGCGGCGUGCCUAAUACAUGCAAGUCGAGCGAACGGACGAGAAGCUUGCUUCUCUGAUGUUAGCGGCGGACGGGUGAGUAACACGUGGAUAACCUACCUAUAAGACUGGGAUAACUUCGGGAAACCGGAGCUAAUACCGGAUAAUAUUUUGAACCGCAUGGUUCAAAAGUGAAAGACGGUCUUGCUGUCACUUAUAGAUGGAUCCGCGCUGCAUUAGCUAGUUGGUAAGGUAACGGCUUACCAAGGCAACGAUGCAUAGCCGACCUGAGCGGGUGAUCGGCCACACUGGAACUGAGGCACGGUCCAGACUCCUACGGGAGGCAGCAGUAGGGAAUCUUCCGCAAUGGGCGAAAGCCUAACGGAGCAACGCCGCGUGAGUGAUGAAGGUCUUCGGAUCGUAAAACUCUGUUAUUAGGGAAGAACAUAUGUGUAAGUAACUGUGCACAUCUUGACGGUACCUAAUCAGAAAGCCACGGCUAACUACGUG